Molecule: long non-coding RNA, 427 nt
Organism: Astyanax mexicanus (Mexican tetra)
Lineage: Eukaryota; Metazoa; Chordata; Actinopteri; Characiformes; Acestrorhamphidae
Exons: 3
Source: RefSeq, a predicted model, not a curated record
ACUGGAUUCCAGUUUGUAUAAUUCCAGGUUUCUGAUUCACAACACAGAAAUUUCAGUGCUUAAAGCCCAAAACUGGCAGCUUAGUAAACCCAAGUACCAAACCCACAACACUGUCUUUAAUAACACCAUGCUCUAACACUGAGCGAUUAAAACUAGUUUUAGCUUCAAAAAGCACAGACUUUCAGUAGUGGUGUGGAACGGUCUGUAAGAGUAAACGACAGUUUGGACUGUAUGGUUAAUCGUACAUCUUAUCUAUUGGGUGGCUGUUAUUUGGCAGCAGGAUCUUCAGGUGAACUAAUAGCAGGACCUUCAGGUGGAUUGGCAACAUGAUCUUCAGGUGGAUUGGGGUAACAGGACCUUCAGGUGGACUGAUAGCAGGACCUGUAGAGAGUUUAUCACCGUCUUCAUCAGUCCUGGUCCUGAUCAC